Molecule: small nuclear RNA, 102 nt
Organism: Bombus huntii
Lineage: Eukaryota; Metazoa; Arthropoda; Insecta; Hymenoptera; Apidae
Source: RefSeq, a predicted model, not a curated record
GUGCUUCCUUCGGUAGUACAUAUACUAAAAGUGGAACGAUCAGAGAAGUGUUAGCGUGGCCCCUGCGCAAGGGUGACAUGCUUGUGCAAACUCGUGAUGUUC